RNAcentral lists this ribosomal RNA (465 nucleotides) under uncultured bacterium. Its description in RNAcentral is "partial 16S ribosomal RNA". It matches the Rfam family "Bacterial small subunit ribosomal RNA", at positions 339 to 795 of the family's 1533-position model. The record is from RNAcentral.
CUACGGGUGGCUGCAGUGGGGAAUAUUGGACAAUGGGGGAAACCCUGAUCCAGCAAUGCCGCGUGUGUGAAGAAGGCCUGCGGGUUGUAAAGCACUUUCGGUUGGGAGGACUGCUUCUAGCACUAAUAUUGUUGGAAGUUGACGUUACCUUCAGAGGAAGCACCGGCUAACUCCGUGCCAGCAGCCGCGGUAAUACGGAGGGUGCAAGCGUUAAUCGGAAUUACUGGGCGUAAAGCGCGCGUAGGCGGCUAGAUCAGUCGGGUGUGAAAGCCCCGGGCUUAACCUGGGAACUGCAUCCGAUACUGUCUAGCUUGAGUACAGGAGAGGAGAGUGGAAUUCCACAUGUAGCGGUGAAAUGCGUAGAUAUGUGGAGGAACACCAAUGGCGAAGGCAGCUCUCUGGCCUGAUACUGACGCUGAGGUGCGAAAGCGUGAGGAGCAAACAGGAUUAGAUACCCGCGUAGUC